This 30-nucleotide non-coding RNA is filed under the name Mus musculus (house mouse). Lineage: Eukaryota; Metazoa; Chordata; Mammalia; Rodentia; Muridae. The record is from RNAcentral.
CACAAAUAUCAAGUGUAGCUUGAUUUUUAC